AGUCCAGACUCCUACGGGAGGCAGCAGUGGGGAAUAUUGCACAAUGGGGGGAACCCUGAUGCAGCGACGCCGCGUGGGUGAAGGAGCACCUCGGUGCGUAAAGCCCUAUCGGCAGGGAAGAAACAGGCGGUACCUGACUAAGAAGCCCCGGCUAACUACGUGCCAGCAGCCGCGGUAAUACGUAGGGGGCAAGCGUUAUCCGGAUUCACUGGGUGUAAAGGGAGCGUAGACGGCCAUGCAAGCCUGGAGUGAAAGCCCGGGGCCCAACCCCGGGACUGCUCUGGGAACUGUGCGGCUGGAGUGCGGGAGGGGCAGGCGGAAUUCCUGGUGUAGCGGUGAAAUGCGUAGAUAUCGGGAGGAACACCGGCGGCGAAGGCGGCCUGCUGGACCGCGACUGACGUUGAGGCUCGAAAGCGUGGGGAGCAAACAGGAUUAGAUACCCGGGUA
This 447-nucleotide ribosomal RNA is filed under the name uncultured bacterium. RNAcentral's name for it is "bacterial SSU rRNA". It matches the Rfam family "Bacterial small subunit ribosomal RNA", at positions 328 to 792 of the family's 1533-position model. The record is from RNAcentral.